AGUGAACGCUGGCGGUAGGCCUAACACAUGCAAGUCGAACGGCAGCACAGUAAGAGCUUGCUCUUACGGGUGGCGAGUGGCGGACGGGUGAGGAAUACAUCGGAAUCUACUUUUUCGUGGGGGAUAACGUAGGGAAACUUACGCUAAUACCGCAUACGACCUACGGGUGAAAGCAGGGGAUCUUCGGACCUUGCGCGAUUGAAUGAGCCGAUGUCGGAUUAGCUAGUUGGCGGGGUAAAGGCCCACCAAGGCGACGAUCCGUAGCUGGUCUGAGAGGAUGAUCAGACACACUGGAACUGAGACACGGUCCAGACUCCUACGGGAGGCAGCAGUGGGGAAUAUUGGACAAUGGGCGCAAGCCUGAUCCAGCCAUACCGCGUGGGUGAAGAAGGCCUUCGGGUUGUAAAGCCCUUUUGUUGGGAAAGAAAAGCAGCAGGUUAAUACCCCGCUGUUCUGACGGUACCCAAAGAAUAAGCACCGGCUAACUUCAUG
RNAcentral lists this ribosomal RNA (492 nucleotides) under uncultured bacterium. RNAcentral describes it as "partial 16S ribosomal RNA". It matches the Rfam family "Bacterial small subunit ribosomal RNA", at positions 29 to 507 of the family's 1533-position model. The record is from RNAcentral.